GGGGAAUCUUCCGCAAUGGACGAAAGUCUGACGGAGCAACGCCGCGUGAGUGAUGACGGCCUUCGGGUUGUAAAGCUCUGUUAAUCGGGACGAAAGGCCUUCUUGCGAAUAGUUAGAAGGAUUGACGGUACCGGAAUAGAAAGCCACGGCUAACUACGUGCCAGCAGCCGCGGUAAUACGUAGGUGGCAAGCGUUGUCCGGAAUUAUUGGGCGUAAAGCGCGCGCAGGCGGAUUGGUCAGUCUGUCUUAAAAGUUCGGGGCUUAACCCCGUGAUGGGAUGGAAACUGCCAAUCUAGAGUAUCGGAGAGGAAAGUGGAAUUCCUAGUGUAGCGGUGAAAUGCGUAGAUAUUAGGAAGAACACCAGUGGCGAAGGCGACUUUCUGGACGAAAACUGACGCUGAGGCGCGAAAGCCAGGGGAGCGAACGGAAUUAGAUACCCCGGUAGUCCUGGCCGUAAACGAUGGGUACUAGGUGUAGGAGGUAUCGACCCCUUCUGUGCCGGAGUUAACGCAAUAAGUACCCCGCCUGGGGAGUACGACCGCAAGGUUG
RNAcentral lists this ribosomal RNA (549 nucleotides) under uncultured bacterium. Its description in RNAcentral is "bacterial SSU rRNA". It matches the Rfam family "Bacterial small subunit ribosomal RNA", at positions 356 to 896 of the family's 1533-position model. The record is from RNAcentral.